CCUACGGGUGGCUGCAGUGGGGGAUAUUGCACAAUGGGGGGAACACUGAUGCAGCGACGCAGCGUGGAUGAAGGAGUGCUUCGGCAUGUAAAGCCGUAUCGGCGGGGAAGAAGCAAGACGGUACCUGACUAAGAAGCCGCGGCUAAUUACGUGCCAGCAGCCGAGGUAAUACGUAGGGGGCGAGCGUUAAUCGGAAUUACUGGGCGUAAGGCGCUCGUAGGCGGUAUGUCAAGUCAAGGGUGAAAUCCCCGCGCUCAACGUGGGAACUGCCGUUGAAACUGGCAAACUGGAGUGUGUGAGAGGAUAGUGGAAUUCCAGGUGUAGGAGUGAAAUCCGUAGAUAUCUGGAGGAACAUCAGUGGCGAAGGCGACUAUCUGGCACACAACUGACGCUGAGGAGCGAAAGCGUGGGUAGCAAACAGGAUUAGAUACCCGAGUAGUC
Molecule: ribosomal RNA, 441 nt
Filed under: uncultured bacterium
Lineage: Bacteria
Description: partial 16S ribosomal RNA
Rfam family: Bacterial small subunit ribosomal RNA
Source: RNAcentral